GGAAAAAGAGCAAAGGGCCCCAAAUAUGCAGGAGGAUGUGGAGGAAGCUCCCAGUGAGAAAUUACUUGCAAGGAAUUAAAAUUCCACCUGAGGUCUUACCUGUAAGAGCCUGUCAUAGGGCUUUAAGCCACCAAGAUCUCCUGGCCCAGCUGGGCGAAUAUUUUUGACAUACACUCCUUUCUCCAGUAAGCCAUCUGCUACACUGAACCCAAAGUCCUCCAUGUCAGAGUCCUUGUACAAGGUCACCUGAAGAGAGAGAAAAUGAGAUGUGAAUAUUUAGCUGGGGUGGAGACUUUUCCUUCUGCAACUUCUUGAUAAACAAUCUUUUCACACGAAUUUAGUCACAUCAUGAUUUGCAAUAUCAGCAUCAGUCAGCUCCCUGCACCAAUCCUGCAGCUUUUUUUUUCCCACUCCAAGAAUAUCUUUGGACUUUAUGAAUUCCCAACCAAAGCUGAAAAAGGAGGAGAACUGGAACGUCUGGGUCCUCCCUCCCUCCUUUGCAGUCGUCAUCAGGGGGAUAUAGGAGAGAACUUCCUCAAGUGUCAGGGAUGACAACUGGCUUUUCAGCUUCAGGAAUGAAUAUGGACAACUUGAAGGAAGGCUUGCCAAGAUCCCAGUGGAGCCUCAGAUGCAGCAGAUGAUGAGAAAAACGAAUUAAGAACUUCUCAAUGGACACCAGGCUGCCUGUACUUGCAAUGCUGCCUCUAUCUCCAACUGCAGUUAACAAUGGGCUGGAAAGCGAUGACUGAUAUAAAGAUAACUGCAGAAGUGUGGUUAGCCAUCUGGGAAGAAGUCUUAUGAAUGCAGUUUUCUGUCAAAAGUGUUGACUUAAGGAAACACAGAUGUGUCUUCUCUUGAAGGGGAACUAAGUAGCUGUGAAUUUCAUCCUGGCUCCCUCUGAUGGACUAACCAUUUUCCCCUUCUGAACCAAUCAAACC
This 938-nucleotide long non-coding RNA is filed under the name Pan troglodytes (chimpanzee). RNAcentral describes it as "long non-coding RNA NONPTRT003844". The record is from RNAcentral. Lineage: Eukaryota; Metazoa; Chordata; Mammalia; Primates; Hominidae.